This 1145-nucleotide long non-coding RNA is filed under the name Numida meleagris (helmeted guineafowl). Its description in RNAcentral is "lncRNA (ENSNMEG00000001188.1)". The record is from RNAcentral. Lineage: Eukaryota; Metazoa; Chordata; Aves; Galliformes; Numididae.
AUGCUGGCUUAUCAAGCCACCUCCCCAGACCCUCUCCUUCGUUCUGACUGUGGUUACAGAAUGGAUGUAGAAGUUCAGCAGCAAAUGGGAAACUGCCAGAAACACCGAGCAGGCCUUUUCCGCAUGGAAUUUUGCUUUGCCUCUCCAACUGCCAUCGCAUCACUGCCGGUUCUGGGUCAGACGUUGGUGCCUGAGCUCCCCAGGCAGAGGGCACAGCGAGUGUUCCCCACAGCCCCGUGCUCCCAGCCUGGGAGCUUCACGUUUCUCUGCUUUUCUGUCUGCAAAACGGGGCAGCAGGACUCCAUCAUUCUCCAGAAGGCUCUGCAGCUGCUCCAGGCUGGGAACGCCGGCCCGCUUCCAUCCAUGUGCUGCAGGAGGUGGGGUCCUGGCCACGCUGAUGUGACUAAAGAUUGUCAUAGCACAUGUAAGUAAGAGGGCUGCUCUGCAAGCUUGGUUGUCUGUUGUGGUACUGUAUUUGCGUGCAUCACCACAGCGUGUGUUUGACGCAGGCAGCACAGUGUCCAUUCUUUGCGAGCAUCCCAGCCCUUGCAGCAUCAAUCACAAGAUGAUGGGAGUUUGCCCUGGGAGCUUGUGUACCACAGCACAAACUUCUGCCCGAUAGCAGCAGCAGGCCGGUGGCUGCGCGAGGCAGGGAGGAGGCACAGCCCCUGGAAGCCGUGUUCCAGGGCACAGCCAAGAAUGAGUCUGUGACCUCCUGGAGGCAAAGCCCAGCCAGGUGAUGGGAAUUCUGCAUCAGGCAGUGCUGCAAGAACCUCUUCCCGCGGCACAUGUCCCUGGAAGAGUAAAUUAUCAGUAGCUUGAGAAGUAAAUCUAGCUCUCAUGAUGCCCUAGAUCCUACCUCAGAGCUCACUCAUCCGCGCUGGCGGCCGUCCUGAUGGGAGCAAGGGUUCUGUUUGUGUCAGUGCCCUCUCCAAAGUUCAAACUGUGUCUGAAGUGCUGCAGUCCAGGCCUGCCCAUCAAAGCGCUGAGCGCUUCUCGUGCGCUGCCAUAAAUAAGGCAAACCACAAUCAGGAAAUGGCAGAAUGGCUAUUUAUAAACCGGCCCUAUCUGCAAAGAUAUUUGUGAGACCAGCAAAAAAAUCCCCACGUCGCUCUUCCUGACCCCAGUGCCCUCUAUUUGCUUCG